This 249-nucleotide ribosomal RNA is filed under the name uncultured bacterium. Its description in RNAcentral is "partial 16S ribosomal RNA". It matches the Rfam family "Bacterial small subunit ribosomal RNA", at positions 524 to 773 of the family's 1533-position model. The record is from RNAcentral.
UACGUAGGGGGCGAGCGUUGUCCGGAGUUACUGGGCGUAAAGCGCACGCAGGCGGUCUGUUAAGUUUGGAGUGACAGUUGGUGGCUUAACUGCCAAAGUGCUUCGAAAACUGACAGACUUGAGGGCUUCAGAGGGACACGGAAUUCCGGGUGGAGUGGUGAAAUGCGUAGAGAUCCGGAGGAACACCAAAGGCGAAGGCAGUGUCCUGGGGGGUACCUGACGCUCGGUGCGAAAGCCAGGGGAGCGAAC